GAUGAACGCUGGCGGCGUGCCUAAUACAUGCAAGUCGAGCGAACGGACGAGAAGCUUGCUUCUCUGAUGUUAGCGGCGGACGGGUGAGUAACACGUGGAUAACCUACCUAUAAGACUGGGAUAACUUCGGGAAACCGGAGCUAAUACCGGAUGAUAUUUUGAACCGCAUGGUUCAAAAGUGAAAGACGGUCUUGCUGUCACUUAUAGAUGGAUCCGCGCUGCAUUAGCUAGUUGGUAAGGUAACGGCUUACCAAGGCAACGAUGCAUAGCCGACCUGAGAGGGUGAUCGGCCACACUGGAACUGAGACACGGUCCAGACUCCUACGGGAGGCAGCAGUAGGGAAUCUUCCGCAAUGGGCGAAAGCCUGACGGAGCAACGCCGCGUGAGUGAUGAAGGUCUUCGGAUCGUANAACUCUGUUAUUAGGGAAGAACAUAUGUGUAAGUAACUGUGCACAUCUUGACGGUACCUAAUCAGAAAGCCACGGCUAACUACGUGCCAGCAGCCGCGGUAAUACGUAGGUGGCAAGCGUUAUCCGGAAUUAUUGGGCGUAAAGCGCGCGUAGCGGUUUUUUAAGUCUGAUGUGAAAGCCCACGGCUCAACCGUGGAGGGUCAUUGGAAACUGGAAAACUUGAGUGCAGAAGAGGAAAGUGGAAUUCCAUGUGUAGCGGUGAAAUGCGCAGAGAUAUGGAGGAACACCAGUGGCGAAGGCGACUUUCUGGUCUGUAACUGACGCUGAUGUGCGAAAGCGUGGGGAUCAAACAGGAUUAGAUACCCUGGUAGUCCACGCCGUAAACGAUGAGUGCUAAGUGUUAGGGGGUUUCCGCCCCUUAGUGCUGCAGCUAACGCAUUAAGCACUCCGCCUGGGGAGUACGACCGCAAGGUUGAAACUCAAAGGAAUUGACGGGGACCCGCACAAGCGGUGGAGCAUGUGGUUUAAUUCGAAGCAACGCGGAGAACCUUACCAAAUCUUGACAUCCUUUGACGACUCUAGAGAUAGAGCCUUCCCCUUCGGGGGACAAAGUGACAGGUGGUGCAUGGUUGUCGUCAGCUCGUGUCGUGAGAUGUUGGGUUAAGUCCCGCAACGAGCGCAACCCUUAAGCUUAGUUGCCAUCAUUAAGUUGGGCACUCUAAGUUGACUGCCGGUGACAAACCGGAGGAAGGUGGGGAUGACGUCAAAUCAUCAUGCCCCUUAUGAUUUGGGCUACACACGUGCUACAAUGGACAAUACAAAGGGCAGCGAAACCGCGAGGUCAAGCAAAUCCCAUAAAGUUGUUCUCAGUUCGGAUUGUAGUCUGCAACUCGACUACAUGAAGCUGGAAUCGCUAGUAAUCGUAGAUCAGCAUGCUACGGUGAAUACGUUCCCGGGUCU
Molecule: ribosomal RNA, 1371 nt
Filed under: uncultured bacterium
Lineage: Bacteria
Description: bacterial SSU rRNA
Rfam family: Bacterial small subunit ribosomal RNA
Source: RNAcentral